Long non-coding RNA from Perca flavescens (yellow perch), 368 nucleotides. RefSeq lists it as uncharacterized. The transcript has 3 exons. NCBI's taxonomy places the organism in Eukaryota, Metazoa, Chordata, Actinopteri, Perciformes, Percidae. The record is from RefSeq and is a predicted model, not a curated record.
AAACGCUGGGUUAUUUUAAUAACCCAAUUGCUGGGUUAAGGCUGUUGGGUUAUAGGUUGGGUAGAUUUGACCCAACGUUGGGUCAAAGAUUGUGACCCAACACAAUGGGUUAAAUGAAAGCGAGGCUCGUUCUUCCGCCAUUUCUGGACAGAAGGCGCCAGGACGUCAACGACCAUAGCUGCCGGAUUCAAGUCCCAGCCCCGAACCGGCUGCCUUCAGAGCAACACAGAGCUUCUUUGGAACAAGGAGCAACAUUUAAUAUCCGUAUGAGAUCCUUAAGACAGCUGAUGGAAAAUGCAUGGUUAGUGGUCCUGAGGAACAGAAUCACAUAAAUAAUGAAAGACGUGCCAUGGUCCGGAUACUUGUGU